This is a long non-coding RNA of Ictalurus punctatus (channel catfish), 519 nucleotides long. Lineage: Eukaryota; Metazoa; Chordata; Actinopteri; Siluriformes; Ictaluridae. The record is from Ensembl.
GCUGCAUGAAGUGGCUGAAAGGCAUAGCUUUUGCACUACAGCUGAGCUCAUGCAGAGAAGAGAAACAUGUGAGACUUGGCCCUGGAUGUAAAACAGAGCCUGGGAACGUGCUAGAAAACCUGUGGCCAGAGACAAUAGGCCAAGGAGUGAAGCUCUUUCCAGCAAUGAGGCUUAGGGAGGUCAAAAGUGAGAUGGCCCAGCCCCCUGCAAUGCAUCAUGUUCUGGCAGCUGGUUUGUCACUGGAAGAUCUCGAAUCGCACGCACCUGGCAUCUGUCCCCUGCUUUGUGAUUUGUUGAUCGAGGCCAUUUACGUUUAAUCCAUUUUGAGCUUUCUGAUGUCUGGCAUUCGCAACAAGAACAACAACAGUGAUAGAAAGACGCAUUAAGGCUGGCGAGGGAUGGAUAAUACUGUCCGUCCUCACCAUAUCAAUAUUCCUCUUGUAUAGUUCAACAAACAGACUUCAUAUAAAAACCAUAAUGAUUUUUCCUUUGCUUUCACACUAUCACAUGUUGUUACCC